CUGACAACAUGGGAAACUGAAGUCCUCUCUCUAUCCCCAGAACAGGCAGGGGCAGUGCAAGCUAUCCUAUACCGCACACACCAAUAUGCCUCAACUGGAUCUGCAUGGGCCACCUUUAGGGAUGACAGAAGAGUUCUGUCUUCAUGAAUCUUUCGAUCUGAGACUGAU
Unclassified non-coding RNA from Chelonoidis abingdonii (Abingdon island giant tortoise), 168 nucleotides. The record is from Ensembl. Lineage: Eukaryota; Metazoa; Chordata; Testudines; Testudinidae.